GCCCAAAGUACGGAAUAGCCUCUGGAAACGGAGAGUAAUACCGUAUGUGCCCUUCGGGGAAAGAUUUAUCGCCUUUGGAUUAGCCCGCGUCUGAUUAGAUAGUUGGUGGGGUAACGGCCUACCAAGUCGACGAUCAGUAGCUGGUUUGAGAGGAUGAUCAGCAACACUGGGACUGAGACACGGCCCAGACUCCUACGGGAGGCAGCAGUGGGGAAUCUUAGACAAUGGGCGCAAGUGAUCUAGCCAUGCCGCGUGAGUGACGAAGGUCUUAGGAUCGUAAAGCUCUUUCGCCAGGGAUGAUAAUGACAGUACCUGGUAAAGAAACCCCGGCUAACUCCGUGCCAGCAGCCGCGGUAAUACAGAGGGGGUUAGCGUUGUUCGGAAUUACUGGGCGUAAAGCGCACGUAGGCGGAUUAUUAAGUCAGAGGUGAAAUCCCGGGGCUCAACCCCGAACUGCCUUUGAUACUGGUAAUCUUGAGUUCGAGAGAGGUGAGUGGAAUUCCGAGUGUAGAGGUGAAAUUCGUAGAUAUUCGGAGGAACACCAGUGGCGAAGGGGCUCACUGGCUCGAUACUGACGCUGAGGUGCGAAAGUGUGGGGAGCAAACAGGAUUAGAUACCCUGGUAGUCCACACCGUAAACGAUGAAUGCCAGACGUCGGGGGGCUUGCCUUCGGUGUCACACCUAACGGAUUAAGCAUUCCGCCUGGGGAGUACGGUCGCAAGAUUAAAACUCAAAGGAAUUGACGGGGGCCC
RNAcentral lists this ribosomal RNA (752 nucleotides) under uncultured bacterium. Its description in RNAcentral is "bacterial SSU rRNA". It matches the Rfam family "Bacterial small subunit ribosomal RNA", at positions 128 to 922 of the family's 1533-position model. The record is from RNAcentral.